Molecule: ribosomal RNA, 114 nt
Filed under: uncultured bacterium
Lineage: Bacteria
Description: partial 16S ribosomal RNA
Rfam family: Bacterial small subunit ribosomal RNA
Source: RNAcentral
CGUUCCCGGGUCUUGUACACACCGCCCGUCACACCAUGGGAGCGGGUUUUACCAGAAGUAGGUAGCUUAACCGCAAGGGGGGCGCUUACCACGGUAGGAUUCGUGACUGAGGUG